RNAcentral lists this ribosomal RNA (61 nucleotides) under Caballeronia sp. EK. RNAcentral describes it as "partial 23S ribosomal RNA". Lineage: Bacteria; Pseudomonadati; Pseudomonadota; Betaproteobacteria; Burkholderiales; Burkholderiaceae. The record is from RNAcentral.
AAGUGCAGUAAUGCAUUGAGCUAACUGAUACUAAUUGCCCGUAAGGCUUGAUCCUAUAACC